This is a long non-coding RNA of Pan troglodytes (chimpanzee), 887 nucleotides long. RefSeq lists it as uncharacterized. The transcript has 2 exons. Lineage: Eukaryota; Metazoa; Chordata; Mammalia; Primates; Hominidae. The record is from RefSeq and is a predicted model, not a curated record.
GACUUGUGUUGCUAGGUUACUAUCUAGUAAUCCUCUUGCUUAUCUUGGGCUUCUGGUAUUUUCAAUUCCAUUUGGUGAGGGUUGGAGCUACUCUGAUGUGUCUAGUUCUGUAAUAUAUUAAAAGUCUAGCCAAAAAGAGGUGGCUAUUCAUUAUAAGCAGGAGCUAAGUGUUUAAAAAAACACAUGCAAUGAGAGAAAUAGACCAAAUCAUCAGGAAGGACAGUGUCAGAAAACUUUGUCUGACUUAUUUUAAUUCCUUUUUUUAACUAUCUGACUGCAUGCCUAACAGAGCUGAAGAAGAUAAAGAAAAAUGAAAAGACAAGAAAAGAGAAAAGAAGAGAGAGAGCGAGAAAGAAGAAAGAAAAAAAGAAAGAAAGAAAAGAAAGAAGGAAGGAAGGAAAGAAAGAAAAAAGGAAAGAAAGAGAAGAGAGAAGAAAGAGAAAAGAAAAGGAAGAAAAAAAGAAAAGAAACUCUCAAUAAAUGAGAAGGGUCAUUCAUCCAUUGAGGCAGGCAGGAAGUCACUAUAUAUAUUUUAUAGAGGUAAUAAAUGGCAGGGGUAUUGCUUAGGGCAGGAGGAAAAAAGAAUUAAACCCAUAGAAAACUAGACAAAGUGCAAUACUCUAGGAGUUAGACCUCCAAAUUAAAUCCUUACAAUAAUGUUGAGCAAGUGUCUUGAUACGUGUAUAAGCAGAGUCCUGCUAGAACACAGAAGUUCUAAUGCCUCCUGGAGGACAGCAGGGAGACUUCAGAGAGGAGAUAGCCCUUGAGCAGACUUUCACAGCAAUUGCAUAUUUCCUCCACCAAAAUCUCCAUAAGACACUGAACUAAUCCAUUGCAUUGCUGAACAGAAAGUUUAUGAAGGGGAAUAAAAUACAUCUGAGACUGGA